This 427-nucleotide ribosomal RNA is filed under the name uncultured bacterium. RNAcentral's name for it is "bacterial SSU rRNA". It matches the Rfam family "Bacterial small subunit ribosomal RNA", at positions 506 to 931 of the family's 1533-position model. The record is from RNAcentral.
AGCCAGCAGCCGCGGUAAGACGGAGGGGGCAAGCGUUGUCCGGAAUUACUGGGCGUAAAGCGCGCGUAGGCGGUUAUGUACGGCGGUGGUGAAAGCUCCCGGCUCAACUGGGAGAGGCCCGCCGCAACGGCGUGACUCGAGGGUGGUAGAGGCAGACGGAAUUCCUGGUGUAGCGGUGAAAUGCGUAGAGAUCAGGAGGAACACCCGUGGCGAAGGCGGUCUGCUGGGCCAUGCCUGACGCUGAGGCGCGAAAGCGAGGGGAGCGAACGGGAUUAGAUACCCCGGUAGUCCUCGCCGUAAACGAUGGAUACUAGGUGUCAGCGGUAUCGACCCCGCUGGUGCCGGAGCUAACGCGUGAAGUAUCCCGCCUGGGGAGUACGGCCGCAAGGUUGAAACUCAAAGGAAUUGACGGGGGCCCGCACAAGAC